UGAACACUUAUUUCUUAAACAAGACAGACAAAUAUAUAGAAUUACAUUAUAAAAAUCUUUAAAACCCAAAAGACAUCAGUGAAAACUAACUCAAAAAUAAAUAUCAUGCUAAAAUACAAAAGCACUACAUAGUACUCUUUUUGGUGAAUUUGUUCAAUGCUAAAAAGAAAUAUUUCACCUGUACAGUUAUCAUAUACUGAACAUUGUACGUUUUAGCAACCAUUAUAAGCAGGGAAGGGAUAAAAUAACUAGGUUUUAUUUGUGAUCUACAAUAGACUGUUAUCUCAUUCAGGCAGGGGAUCAUCAUAAGAAAACCCAUGUAAACAUAACUAAUUAUACUUCCAGAAACACUAUACUUUAAUCUUCACAGCUGACAUCAGUUUGACAUGAGCACAAAGGAUUCGUGUCAUGAAAACUUCUGUCAGACUGAAAAGGGGAAACUUUACACUAAAGAUGAAAAUUUGAAUUAAAGAGAGUUUAGAUUUUACCAUCCACUACAUGCAUGAAUGUAAGUGUUUACAUAGCUUUACUUCUUCAAGAAUUUCUGAUAAGGUUGAUUUUAUUUCUGUUACUGCACAGUCUGUUUGCUGGAAGACUUUUUUUAUUAACAAGACCAGAAUAAAAACAGUCCACCAAGUGUCCACAAAAGUUUAUAUUGUUUAUACUUAAAGCUUCAUUAACAGUGAGUAAAUCUACCUCUUUGUUUAAAACUGUGAUAGUUUGAUCUACUGCACAAACAGCCUCAAUCCCAACACUGCCUCAAAGCCAUAAAGGCAUUUCUUUUUUUUCAGCGGAGUACACUGUGUCUUGUAGAUUAAACCAGCUCUCACUGGGCCCAUUGAAUUGAAUUAAAGUUAUGUGGGAGGGGGAUGUUUGAACAGCUAAUAGCUAUGGGUCAUUUCUGGCAUCAGACCUGUUGGUUGGCUGCAGCUAUUUCCUCAUCACUAGGUGAAACGCCUUCACAGAGAGGCGGGGGAGAGGGCGCUGUGAGUGUGAAACAGUCAUCUGUUGUGCGUAUGGGCAUGAGUAAACAGUGUAAUCAUCUUUGAGGCAGUAAUUAUGUGCUCCAGCGUUGGCCGGGCGGUGGCGGUGGCGGCUGCGGGCCCACCCUGCUUCAGACAGCAGGUGCAGUUCACCAUCUGACAGCUGACUCCUAUGGAAGGUGUGAUCCAAUUCUCCCGAGGCUGGGUCGACCCAGUGCAGACCUUCAGGCGGUCAGGGCCAAAGCCAACAAACCAGCAAACCUCUGACACAGGAGGGGAGGGAAAACAACAUGGAGGAGGUGGAGACAGACUGAUGAAGGAUGGAUGCCUCAACUCUGUUUUCACUCACAGGAGUUGGAUAGAUGUGCUGUCUUUUUUUUUUCUGUGAGGGUCAGGAGCUGGUUGGAGAUGGAGACGGAGGCUCUGGGUUCAGAGGGGGGCUCAUGGUGACCUUGUGAUUUAUGGUGCAGCACUGGAGGAGCAGAUCAGAAUACAGCUGCCCCAUCACUGCACACAAACAUGUGUAUACCAGACUCAUGCAUGACCUUAGCUCUCAUAUGUAGUCACUGGUAGUCUGCAUACAAAUCAAUGAAGCUUUGACUGAAUGUUUUCUGGCUGUUAGACUAAGAAAAAAUUAAUAAAACAAAUGUAUCUGCAUUUCUUUUCUUUUGUGUAUAAUAGGCUUCUGUCUGUGAAUCCAGGGAUUAUGUGCGUAAAAAUGUGAUGCUUGUUGCAGCUAACUGGCUUUUGCAGCUCAUUCUGAAUGGCAUGAAGUGAUGUAGAAAAUGAGCUAGAUGAAGAGGA
Siniperca chuatsi (mandarin fish) is the source of this 1787-nucleotide long non-coding RNA. RefSeq lists it as uncharacterized. NCBI's taxonomy places the organism in Eukaryota, Metazoa, Chordata, Actinopteri, Centrarchiformes, Sinipercidae. The record is from RefSeq and is a predicted model, not a curated record. The transcript is spliced from 3 exons.